RNAcentral lists this ribosomal RNA (253 nucleotides) under uncultured bacterium. RNAcentral's name for it is "partial 16S ribosomal RNA". It matches the Rfam family "Bacterial small subunit ribosomal RNA", at positions 524 to 776 of the family's 1533-position model. The record is from RNAcentral.
UACGGGGGGGGCAAGCGUUGUUCGGAAUUACUGGGCGUAAAGGGCGCGUAGGCGGCUUGGUCAGUCCCGUGUGAAAUCCCUCGGCUCAACUGAGGAACUGCACGGGAAACUGCCUGGCUUGAGUUCGGGAGAGGGAAGCGGAAUUCCGGGUGUAGCGGUGAAAUGCGUAGAUAUCUGGAGGAACACCGGUGGCGAAGGCGGCAUCCUGGACCGGUAUUGACGCUGAGGCGCGAAAGCUAGGGGAGCAAACGGG